AUGUCUUCUCAGGAUAGAGAACAUGAAUCCGGGUACCAAAAGCGAUUGAAAAAACAAAAAACAGAGAAGUUAGGUCGAUUACAGAAAGGAGCCAUGGAUAAGUUUGUUGCGAAAGAACCACACGUGUCCUCUAAUAAUCAAUCACAAGAUCAAGGCUUCACGGUUGAUAAUAAUGUUGACAAUGAUCAUAGAGAUGAACAAGCAAAUAAAGAAAAUAAUGAUGAGGUUGAUGAUGAUCUUAUUGGUAACACAAAUAUUGAUAUGGAUAAUAAUGGUGAUGACAUCAGGACAACUAGUAUUGAUGUUAACUCAAAUACUUCACCUGUUGCGGAUGUCGGCGGUUCUUUUCAUGUUGAUAUAUUUGAUCCAAGAAACUGGGGUUCUCUUGAUCCUAAGCAGAUUGACAAUUUAGGACAAAAGGGCCCUCAAAGAGACUCACAAUCUCAGAAAGGUCCUAAGGAUAGAUAUUCUAGCAGGUUUUCUGCACUAUUCUAUACUAGAAUUAUGUCAAAUGGGGAGCAUUGCGAUAGAGAUUGCCUAUUGCAAAAGCAUCAAACUAUUGAUAAAGAUGCUCAAGGUCAACUUGAGAAUGAAAAGGAGCACUGGAGAAAUUUUUUGUCUAGAAUUCUUUGCAUUAUUAAAUUUCUUGCCAAGCAUAAUCUAGCCUUUCGUGGUAGUAACAGCAAACUGUAUGAAGACAACAAUGGGAAUUUCUUGGAACUAGUAGAGAUGUUGGCUGAAUUUAACACAGUUAUUCAAGAGCAUGCUUGUCGUAUUACAAAUGAAGAAACUCAUGCUCAUCAUCUUGAUCAUAAGAUUUAGAAUGAGUUGAUACACUUGCUUGCUUCAGCUAUUAAAUUUGAGAUUGUUAAGAAAAAAAUGCAAUUCUAUAAGAUAACAUAGAUAGGAGUGACGCUCAAGUUAGUAUCAGCAACACGUUGGGAGAGUUGUGUCAACAAUGUUAAAGCUAUCAUAUUUCAAUGUGCAGCCAUUUGGGAGGCUCUACUUUUAGUUAUCUGAAACUGAUAAUGAUAUAAAACGAGCAGCAAGGCAAAAGGUUUGGCAAAUAAUGAACCUGGGGAGUAUGAACUUAUAGUGGCAAGAGUAAUUUGGUCUGAGGUAUUAUAUGUUGUUAAUUUAGUAAGCAAACACUUGCAAGCAAAGGAUAUGCUUAUAGAUGUUGCUAUUGAGAAAGUGAAAGAGUUGAUUAUUAUUUUCAAAAGGUAUAGAGAAAGUGGCUUUUUAGAAGCAUUGGAGAUGGCCAAAAAAAAUUGCACCUGAUAUGGUUAUUAGUACAACAUUUCAUGGAAGACGAGGAAUUAAAAGAGACAUUUUGAUGAGAACCCAGAGGACACAAAUGUUCCCACAUAGUCUGCAGAGGAAUCAUUUAGAAACGGUUAUUUUACAACUAUUGUUGAUCAAGCAAUUAUGUCACUUACAAGCAGAUUUGAACAAUAUGAGGUUAGCAAAAAGAUUUUCUUUUUAUUUACUUUCAAAUCAUUGUAGUCAUUGGAUAAUGAGAGCUUGAAAUCUUGUGUUGGAAUUCUAAAGUUUUUAAAGUGACAUGAUUGUAUUCCCAAUGCAGGUGUUGCAUACAUAGUUCUAUUGACCAUUCCUGUGACUGUUGCAUCAGUAGAAAGAAGCUUUUCAAAAUUGAAGCUAUUGAAGUCGUAUUUGUGUACUACAAUGACACAACAAAGGCUUACUGAUUUGGCCACAAUAGCACUUGAGAGUGAAGUGUUGGAGAACAUUGAUUACGAGGAUAUUGAAGAUUUCAUUUUAAAGAACACUAAAAGAAUGUUGUUAUUCAAGUAA
This 1815-nucleotide ribosomal RNA is filed under the name Triticum aestivum (bread wheat). Its description in RNAcentral is "partial small subunit ribosomal RNA". The record is from RNAcentral. Lineage: Eukaryota; Viridiplantae; Streptophyta; Magnoliopsida; Poales; Poaceae.